CAGUCGCCACGGUAAUACGUAGGUGGCAAGCGUUGUCCGGAAUUAUUGGGCGUAAAGGGCUCGCAGGCGGUUUCUUAAGUCUGAUGUGAAAGCCCCCGGCUCAACCGGGGAGGGUCAUUGGAAACUGGGAAACUUGAGUGCAGAAGAGGAGAGUGGAAUUCCACGUGUAGCGGUGAAAUGCGUAGAGAUGAGGAGGAACACCAGUGGCGAAGGCGACUCUCUGGUCUGUAACUGACGCUGAGGAGCGAAAGCGUGGGGAGCGAACAGGAUUAGAUACCCCGGUAGUCCCUGUCUCUUAUAC
RNAcentral lists this ribosomal RNA (301 nucleotides) under uncultured bacterium. Its description in RNAcentral is "partial 16S ribosomal RNA". It matches the Rfam family "Bacterial small subunit ribosomal RNA", at positions 509 to 807 of the family's 1533-position model. The record is from RNAcentral.